GUCGAGAAUCUUCCGCAAUGGGCGCAAGCCUGACGGAGCGACGCCGCGUGGAGGACGAAGGCCUUCGGGUUGUAAACUCCUGUCACGAGUUAAGAAGGGCAUGCAGCGAACAGCUGUAGGCUUUGACGUAAGCUCGAGAGGAAGCACUGGCUAACUCUGUGCCAGCAGCCGCGGUAAUACAGAGAGUGCAAACGUUGUUCGGAAUUACUGGGCUUGAAGCGCACGUAGGCGGCGUUGUAAGUGUCGGGUGAAAUCCCACGGCUCACCCGUGGAACUGCCCGGCAUACUGCGAUGCUAGAGUGUGGUAGGGGAGAGCGGAACUCCUGGUGGAGCGGUGAAAUGCGUAGAUAUCAGGAGGAACACCGGUGGCGAAGGCGGCUCUCUGGUCCACAACUGACGCUGAGGUGCGAAAGCUAGGGGAGCAAACGGGAUUAGAAACCCGUGUAGUCC
RNAcentral lists this ribosomal RNA (450 nucleotides) under uncultured bacterium. Its description in RNAcentral is "bacterial SSU rRNA". It matches the Rfam family "Bacterial small subunit ribosomal RNA", at positions 354 to 796 of the family's 1533-position model. The record is from RNAcentral.